AAACUAACAAGGAUUCCCUGAGUAACGGCGAGCGAAAAGGGAAUAGCCCAGCGCCGAAUCUCUUGUCCUCCGGGCAAGAAGACAUGUGGCGUUUGGGACGAGGCUUUGCCUGUGCAGAAUGGUCAUCCAAGUCCCUCUUGAACGGGGCCAUAGCCCAUGGAGGGUGCUAGGCCCGUAUGAUGACUUUAUUGUGCAGUGCGUCUCGUCCGUAGAGUCGGGUUGCUUGGGAGUGCAGCCCAAAUCAGGUGGUAAACUCCAUCUAAGGCUAAAUAUGACCACGAGACCGAUAGCGAACAAGUACCGUGAGGGAAAGUUGAAAAGAACUUUGAAGAGAGAGUUAAAAAGUACGUGAAACCUCUCGGGGGUAAGCGGGCAGAACUUGCAAGUAUUGGCUGGGAACAUUCAGGCUUAGUGUUGGUGGCUUGUGAUGCACGUUUUGUUGCUCUUUCGGGAGUUGACUGCCGUGUGUUGCUUGUUCUACUGACGAUGCGCCGCAUUUGUUCCUGUCAUCGGGUUGCAUGCGACUUGAUGGUAGUUUAGGUGCUGGGUGUCUGCAAAUCCUUGUGAUUUGAGCCUUGGUUUCCAACUGCUGUCGUGGUCGUUGAAAUUACGAGUAGGCGCUUGUCGCGGUCAAAAGAUUUCGCGAGUUGGGUGCUUAUGAUAUGUGGACGGGUAACCGUAGCAUGUUGUCUGUACCUGCUGUCAGUGAGAUUUUGUAUUUGGCACUGCUCUGAUUGCAAUCUAAAGCAUGCG
This 753-nucleotide ribosomal RNA is filed under the name Homidia tiantaiensis. RNAcentral describes it as "eukaryotic LSU rRNA". It matches the Rfam family "Eukaryotic large subunit ribosomal RNA", at positions 62 to 628 of the family's 3401-position model. Lineage: Eukaryota; Metazoa; Arthropoda; Collembola; Entomobryomorpha; Entomobryidae. The record is from RNAcentral.